GAUGAAGAACGCAGCGAAAUGCGAUACGUAAUGUGAAUUGCAAAUUCAGUGAAUCAUCGGUCUUUGAACGCACAUUGCGCCCCCUGGUAUUCCGGGGGGCAUGCCUGUCCGAGCGUCAUUGCUGCCCUCAAGCACGGCUUGUGUGUUGGGCCCCGUCCUCCGAUCCCGGGGGACGGGCCCGAAAGGCAGCGGCGGCACCGCGUCCGGUCCUCGAGCGUAUGGGGCUUUGUCACCCGCUCUGUAGGCCCGGCCGGCGCUUGCCGAUCAACCCAAAUUUUUAUCCAGGUUGACCUCGGAUCAGGUAGGGAUACCCGCUGAACUUAAGCAUAUCAAUAAGCGGAGGA
This 344-nucleotide unclassified non-coding RNA is filed under the name soil metagenome. RNAcentral describes it as "partial contains 5.8S ribosomal RNA, internal transcribed spacer 2, and large subunit ribosomal RNA". The stretch from base 1 to 118 matches the Rfam family "5.8S ribosomal RNA", at positions 35 to 154 of the family's 154-position model. The record is from RNAcentral.